Molecule: ribosomal RNA, 253 nt
Filed under: uncultured bacterium
Lineage: Bacteria
Description: partial 16S ribosomal RNA
Rfam family: Bacterial small subunit ribosomal RNA
Source: RNAcentral
GACGGAGGAUGCAAGCGUUAUCCGGAAUGAUUGGGCGUAAAGCGUCCGCAGGUGGCAGUUCAAGUCUGCUGUCAAAGACCGGGGCUUAACUUCGGAAAGGCAGUGGAAACUGGCGACCUAGAGUGCGGUAGAGGGUAGUGGAAUUCCCGGUGUAGCAGUGAAAUGCGUAGAGAUCGGGAGGAACAUCCGUGGCGAAGGCGACUACCUGGACCAGCACUGACACUGAGGCACGAAAGCGUGGGGAGCAAACAGG